GACUGGGCUAUCUACCAUUUUGAUGCUACUCUCUUUAAUGAGUGUCCGAGGACGGUUUGUAGCAACCCCAAGUGCCAUGCCCCGACGGAAUACUUAUUACGUCGCUGCAGACUCCUACGGUCGCGCAAUACAUUCAGAGUGAGCCGGAGCGAACCCCGGCAAACACUCAACUCUGCCCAAGCCCCGAAGGUCUUGUUCAAGAAGGAUGUCGCUCUCAAAAUGGCAUGCCGAAAUCGGCGCAAGGUGCGUUCAAAAAUUCGAUGAUUCACUAUUCUGCAAUUCACAUUACUUAUCGCAUUUCGCUGCGUUCUUCAUCGAUGCGAGAGCCAAGAGAUCCGUUGUUGAAAGUUGUAUUUGUUAUGAAUAACAAUGACAUUCAUUGACAUCACUAGAGUGUGUAUAAAGCCCCGAAAGGCCACAGUUCACAAGGUGUCCUCCUCCUUACCUCAUGUUUAACGUUUGCAACUCAUUCAUAUGUAACUCAGCGCCAUUGCUGAGCCACAUGUAGUACAAAUUUCUUUAAUGAUCCUUCCGCAGGUUCACCCUUACCGGAAG
This 555-nucleotide unclassified non-coding RNA is filed under the name uncultured fungus. Its description in RNAcentral is "partial contains ITS1, 5.8S rRNA, ITS2, 28S rRNA". Lineage: Eukaryota; Fungi. The record is from RNAcentral.